CUUGGUCAUUUAGAGGAAGUAAAAGUCGUAACAAGGUUUCCGUAGGUGAACCUGCGGAAGGAUCAUUAGUGAACGCCCUCACGGGCUUAUAACUAUUCCAAACCUCUGUGAACCGUGCCCUUUGGGGCUAUUUUACAAACAUGGUGUAAUGAACGUCAUAUAUCAUAACAAAACAAAACUUUCAACAACGGAUCUCUUGGCUCUCGCAUCGAUGAAGAACGCAGCGAAAUGCGAUAAGUAAUGUGAAUUGCAGAAUUCAGUGAAUCAUCGAAUCUUUGAACGCACCUUGCACCCUUUGGCAUUCCGAAGGGUAUGCUCGUUUGAGUGUCAUUGUACUCUCACACUUCCAAUCUUUGGAUUGGGAGCGGUGGACUUGGGUGGUUGCGGCUUUACUGUGGCUCACCUCAAAUGAAGUAGUGCAACUCUUGGUUGGACAUAGUACGGCGUGAUAAGUGUCUUCGCCGGCACCUCGUAACAGAGGGUGGUCGAUCGAGAGCUCUGUGCUUCAAACCGUCUUCGGACAAUGACUGACAACUUGACCUCAAAUCGAGUAGGACUACCCGCUGAACUUAAGCAUAUCAAUAAGCGGAGGA
Molecule: ribosomal RNA, 593 nt
Filed under: uncultured fungus
Lineage: Eukaryota; Fungi
Description: eukaryotic LSU rRNA
Rfam family: 5.8S ribosomal RNA (bases 177-330)
Source: RNAcentral